Long non-coding RNA from Callithrix jacchus (white-tufted-ear marmoset), 1604 nucleotides. The record is from Ensembl. NCBI's taxonomy places the organism in Eukaryota, Metazoa, Chordata, Mammalia, Primates, Cebidae.
AAAGUAAUGGAGAAAAUGUGAAGAUAAUUAUAAGAACAAGAGGUUUAAUAGAUUCUAAAACCAUAGGAUUGGAAAUUGCUUCCCAAGAUCCUUCUGUCAUGAGCACUUUGAAUGAAAGAUGGCCUCGGUUUCCUUUUGAAUCAAGAAGGCAUUGUAAAAAAGCCCAAGAUAGCUGUGGCAAUACGCUACGUGGCUUUUCUCCUUCAUACCCAGGUAACUCUUUCAGAUAUCGCCCAAUCUCUAGGGGCAGGACAGGGCAACUGACCUAUAUAAAACCUGCCACUCUUGCUGGGGCAGAGUUUGCUGGACAAGGAGCUAUGUGGCUCCUUCCAAAAUGUAAACCUGUUUUAAGGUGUUUCACUGUGGAUACAUAACAGCCCAUUUGAGUGUCUCUUCUUUUUUCCUGCCCUGGUAUUUUUUUAAAUGUGGUUUUUACUGACUAAUGAAUGCAAAACAUAUAUUUUCAGAAGACCUAAUAUACAGGGUAUAUUGGGUCUUCAAAAGAAGAUAUAAUCUAACAGAUUACAAAGUUAGUUCAGGUGAUCAGAACAGAGGAUCCAUCGAAUAUAAAUUUUCUUAUUCUGUAAAUCAGCAUUCUAGAUGUUAAAAAUAUAAAUGGUACCAUGUACAUGGCAGAAAAGAUAUGUUAAUAACAAACCUGAAAAUCUAUCCUUGCCCUGACAGUAGGUGAUAGACUUGCUAGUUAUAUGCUAUAUGCUUUUGUAGAACUGUCUUUUGUUCCUUCAGUUUGGAUAGAAAAUUAACUGUUGCCUUCUAAUAGAAAAUAAGCUUUAAGAGGACAGGACCAUGUAUGUUUUCACUGACUGUGUAUAUAUAUACAUAUGCACAAAGUCUGCUAAGUAAUUGACAAAUGAAUUAAUGAAUGAAAUGAAUACAGUAGCUGAAUUUACAUGAGAGGGCAAGUAAUUCAAUGGAAAUUAGCUUAAGCUUCCUAUUAUCUUAGAAAAUAGAGAUGAAGCCACUUUGUAAACUGAAGAGCAAUUUAAAUGUCAUUCUUGCUGUUUUAGUGAAAAUAAUGAAAGUAAGUAUCUACUAUAUGUCAGUCGUUAGUCUUCAAAUAAGGGUUAUGAUAAUGAUGAAUGGACCACAGCACAAAUAACUGAAAUUACCAUAGGGAAUUUCACCCUGGGGUCUUCCCACAAAUCAGACCAAUUUCACCCUAAAGCCUAGGAGACUGCUUGAUUGUGAUACUAUUGCUGAUGCCUUGACUUUGAUAUAUUACUCAGAUGGCACUAGCAUAGCCACAGCAGUGACUAGUACUAUAAACCUACCCUUAAGUGCAGCUUACUCUGUGCCAGGCACCCUUCUGAGGUAUUGACGUGUAUUACCUUAGUCCAUUUUCUCCCUAAUUAGAGAGGUUAUUGUGUCUGCUUAUUGUAGAAAACUUAAACACAUAAAAAACUGAAUUUCUGUUUAUCCUUAAUGAAUCUUUCAUUUUAAUACUUAGAAGGGUAUUUUGCUCUUAGAAGAUUACUUGGAAUUUUUAAAAAUGUUAUUCUGAAAGGUCUAGUUUUUAAUAUGAUGUCUAAUGUAUUUGCAUAUAUUUUGUAACUAAUAUCACUGGCUGUACAUUUGCAAUGCCC